Molecule: ribosomal RNA, 468 nt
Filed under: uncultured bacterium
Lineage: Bacteria
Description: partial 16S ribosomal RNA
Rfam family: Bacterial small subunit ribosomal RNA
Source: RNAcentral
GACGAACGCUGGCGGCGUGCUUAACACAUGCAAGUCGAACGGAAAGUCCCUUCUUUUGUGGGGUGCUCGAUUGGCGAACUUGUGAGUAAGACGGGAGUAACCUGCCCUUGACUUUGUGAUAACUUCAGGAAACUAGGGCUAAUACCUGACAGCUGCUCCUGCUGCAUGGUGGGGGUUGGAAUGUUUCGGCGGGUGGGGAUGGACUGGCGGCUGAUGAGCUUGUUGGGGGGGUAGUGGAUUACCAAGGCUUUGACGGGUAGCCGGCCUGAGAGGGUCACCGGCCACAUUGGGACUGAGAUACGACCCAGCCUACUACGGGAGGCAGGAGUGGGGAAUAUUGCACAAUGGGAGGAAGCCUGCUGCAGCACCGCCGCGUGGGGGAUAACGGCAUUCGGGUUGUAAACCGCUUUCGCAUGUGCAGAAGCGUGAGUGACGGUAAUGGGUAAAGAAGCACCGGCUAACUACGUG